UAGCUACUGACCUGUGGAAAUGGAGAGAUUCUGCAGGAGCUUGGGUCUUUGUGACAAUAGAUCCUGAUCAACUCACAGUCCUGUAGAGGUGCACUCCCUGGACAAGAUGGGGCAUAAACCCUGGUCACUCACUGUGGUCAAUCAGCUGAGAGAAUGUUACUACUGGGGAAAACAGAUCAAAACUAAAUAGAAUCUCUUCAUUCUUCAAAUUAUUUGCCUAUUUCAAACAUUGUGCUAUGAAUAUCCUGGCACCCUUCUCUCUUUUAAACAGUUUUGUUGAGACCUAAAUCAU
Molecule: long non-coding RNA, 292 nt
Organism: Chinchilla lanigera (long-tailed chinchilla)
Lineage: Eukaryota; Metazoa; Chordata; Mammalia; Rodentia; Chinchillidae
Exons: 3
Source: RefSeq, a predicted model, not a curated record